Molecule: long non-coding RNA, 1035 nt
Filed under: Sus scrofa (pig)
Lineage: Eukaryota; Metazoa; Chordata; Mammalia; Artiodactyla; Suidae
Description: lncRNA (ENSSSCG00005039833.1)
Source: RNAcentral
CCUCUGCUCCACGCUUGCCCCGACAUUUUCAAGUGGCAAAACUCCAGCCCGGUGAGGCCUAACCCACGCUCCACAGCUGCGCCAAGGGCGCUGCGUACGGCUGGAUACAACCUCCAGACCGUGCUGGCUCGUAUCACUGUCGGACUGUGAUCCCACACCUCAAGCAGAGCCUGGGUGCUGCCGGCAGACGGGCCGCGUGUCACCAUCUGUUCACCCUCUUGCUCUUCUCUUUCACCUUCUCUCUCCCACACACGUGCCACCCGCAUACGUGCCACCCGCACGCGUGCUUCCUCCUUGGUCCUGAGUGUUGCUCUUGCCUCCUCUUUCACUGUUGCAGACUCCGUGAGAGCCGGUGCCUGACUUUGUUUUGUGCGUUGGAUCUGGAACAACCUCUGGAACGUGGCAGACACUUAGCCGAGAAGCACGUUGAAUGCAUGAGUGAUGGCGUGUGCAGUGGACGACCGUGUCAUAGUCGCAGCCAGUGGAUGCGUUGACCACAGCGCAGCCAGGACGGACAACUGCGAAUCACCCGAUAUUGAAGGACCGCGUGCAGCGUGCAGCGCGACCAGAGCCGACAGACUGAAACCCAGUCUCUUGGAAAACAGAGGUGGCUGUGUCGUGUUUUCUCGAACGUCUCUCAGCAUGUGUCUUCCUCACUCCAGAACGCUGCCACAGCUCACGGACCUCUUAAAGUCUUCUUUUGAACUCGGGUGCAAUAUAAAUAAAGAGCUGAUGGAAACCCUCAGCAGUGAGAAGCUACCUUGGCAUCAUCUAUGGAGGAGGCCUUACCUGAGAGCGGAGGCUGGAAAGGACAUGCCCACAGCCGUGCCCUUCUGUGGCCUGGGUACCGUUCUCCCCCAAAUUCUGGACCCACACGGAUCCCAAGACCUCCUGGAGGAACACUCUUCUAACACUACGGACCUGUCUGCACACGGCGGUGGACGUGUUCCUGGAGGGUUUAUUUCCGCUCUGGAUGGAAAAGUCCAGUUGAGAGAGAGAGAGGUUGUGAAAACAGGAGACGGAAGAAAUAAUUAA